CUCCCACUGCUAGAGUGAUAUUUUUUUAAGAUAACAGAAAAGAAGUAAACAAAAAUAGCAGAAUAUCGAGAACUGAAGAAAUCUAUGGCUUCCGCAAUGUCCUUCCAGGAUCCAUCCCCUCUUCUGAGUUAUACAUAGUUUCUGCGAGAAUCGGGAAGCUGCAAUCUUGCAGCUUCAAAGAAAGUCCUUUGUUGGUGAGUGGAGAAUCCAAGGCGAGCAGAAACAUAUACAAACCCAGCAAUACAGAAAUUGCAAGACAAAGAUACAUCUCUUCUGUGAAACUGGCUUGAGCCAUUGGUCAACACUUAGAGAGAGACAGAGAGUCGAUGUGAAGGAAUAUGGGUGCUUGAGGUUAUAUAUAUAUA
This 365-nucleotide small RNA is filed under the name Vigna angularis var. angularis. RNAcentral's name for it is "Non-protein coding transcript". The record is from RNAcentral. Lineage: Eukaryota; Viridiplantae; Streptophyta; Magnoliopsida; Fabales; Fabaceae.